This 253-nucleotide ribosomal RNA is filed under the name uncultured bacterium. RNAcentral's name for it is "partial 16S ribosomal RNA". It matches the Rfam family "Bacterial small subunit ribosomal RNA", at positions 524 to 776 of the family's 1533-position model. The record is from RNAcentral.
GACGUAGGGAGCAAGCGUUGUCCGGAUUUAUUGGGCGUAAAGAGCUCGUAGGUGGCUUGUCGCGUCGGUUGUGAAAACCUGCAGCUUAACUGUGGGCUUGCAGCCGAUACGGGCGGGCUAGAGGCAGGUAGGGGAGAGUGGAAUUCCUGGUGUAGCGGUGAAAUGCGCAGAUAUCAGGAGGAACACCGGUGGCGAAGGCGGCUCUCUGGACCUGUUCUGACGCUGAGGAGCGAAAGCGUGGGGAGCGAACAGG